GCCUCCUUGGCUCAGUGGCUAGAGCGUGUCUUUCCUAUUUAGGGAUCAGGACGAGGUCGUGGGUUCGACCCCCGCAGGAGGUU
Tulasnella sp. 427 is the source of this 83-nucleotide non-coding RNA. The record is from the annotation of a GenBank genome assembly. NCBI's taxonomy places the organism in Eukaryota, Fungi, Basidiomycota, Agaricomycetes, Cantharellales, Tulasnellaceae.